RNAcentral lists this small nuclear RNA (303 nucleotides) under Jaculus jaculus (lesser Egyptian jerboa). RNAcentral describes it as "7SK RNA (ENSJJAG00000008265.1)". It matches the Rfam family "7SK RNA". From Rfam's summary of the family: 7SK was discovered as an abundant small nuclear RNA in the mid-70s but a possible function has only recently been suggested. Two independent studies have found that 7SK RNA binds the CDK9/cyclin T complex (known as elongation factor P-TEFb). The record is from Rfam by way of RNAcentral. Lineage: Eukaryota; Metazoa; Chordata; Mammalia; Rodentia; Dipodidae.
AGAUGUGAGGGCAAUCUGGCUGUGACAUCUGUCACUCCAUUGAUCACCAGGAUUGAUUCAGCUGAUCUGUCUGGCUAGGAGGGCAUCCCCUUUCUCCCUCACCACUCCAUGUGCAUCCCUCCCCAAGCUGUGCACUCGAUCAGUCAAAGAGGAUGACCUUCCCCAAAUACAGGAGGACCAGUCUUCAAUCAAGGGUAUAUGAUAGCUGCGCUCCUCUGCUAGAACCUCCAGACAAGCUCCCCUUGUGCACAUGUGCAACCCUGCAUGCUUGUGUCACUGUGCAUCUGGCUUAUGUGGGACCUA